CCCAGCCAAAGCGCAUGCGCGAGGCGUGCGCCGCUUUUUGCUUCACAGUGCUUCCCACGGUUGUCUUAGGAACCAGUCCCCGAGGCUUGGCAACGCGGGAGCCCUCCGUGGCAGCGCUUGGGUGUCGGGCCUCCGAGGCUCCGGCCUGACCUCUCCACGGGGUCCACAGGAACGUCUCCGGCUGCCAGGAGUCGCAAGGGGCCGAGCAGGAUGAGGAAACCACAGGCGGAGUCCGGGGGAAGCAGCGUGGCAUCCCAGCCUCAGGCCUGCCAGGACGGUGUUCGGGAUCAAGAGGACCACACUCCAGCCCAGGACAAAUGCCCCACGGUAGCACAUUGUCCGGCAGGAGAGGAGCAGACCCACGUCCAAGAAGAUGGUUGUACCUUUCCACGCCUCUUCUCUGCGAAAUGAAGCCACAGAACGACACAAUCUUGAAGAGGAAGCCGUGAAUGGGAGACUGCAACAAUCUGUGUCCCUGGAAUGCUGGCCUCUCUGGACAAGCCACGCACUUCGCACCCCUCCUGUUAUGCCCGUGGCGGUGGCACGGCGCUGUAUCCUACCUGGGCUCUGGCCUCCUCUCUGUCCUCCCUCUUGCUCUGUCUCCCCUGUUUCUGAGCGGCCUAGGUGCCUCUUGGCCUGGCUGAAUAUCUUCUACAAAGAUCACUUCCCAGUCCAUCAGGGACUCUCUUCCUGGAAAUCGGUGUCAUGACUGUUUCUCUCUCCAAACCUGUUUCUGCUGGGUUGGUUAGGUCUGGUGACCCUGGAGCUCUUGUCUUCCAUACGUGUCUCAGCCAGGGAAGCUUCCUCGGUCUCCAUGUUUCACCUCAUUUGUGGGUGGAUUUUCUAGAAUUAGUUGUAGGCGACAGUGACUGGUCUUGUCUUCUAGGACAGGAGAGGUGCCGCAUUUCUUCUGCACUUCCUGUCUCAUCCUUUAGGGACAUGCUGUCCUCUGCUCCUGGGUGUACUGAGUCCCUGAAUCUUUUGGCCCCCUCCUGCAUCCCAGGUGUUCUUUGAUUUUCCUUCGCAUUGAUGGAAAGGUCACUUGUGCCCCGCUUCCGCCGGCCACAUGCCUGGACACCAUUUUUUGUUUCGCCAUCGCCCCAUACGCCCUCGGUGACACACAUUUAUGCCAUCUGCUCUGCGGUACACCAUGCCACGUAUGGUCUCAUUGGCUCCACCUCGGAAUUUCCCCUGUCCCUGUGUUCACGUGUCCUGGAAAGUGGUAUCAGCUUUCAAGUGCACCAGGGCUUUUCUUUUUUCAAAGGAGAAGGGAGGCAUCAGUGAAUUUUCAGCUGACACCUCGCCUUGGGGCCCAUGGGAUCAUUCUGGGAUGCAGCGAGGCCCUGCCUUCCUAGCAGAUGUGGUGAGCCCAUCCUUUCUCACCCGGAGGGGUCCAAAGUCGGAUCUCAAGAGGAGUUCUGGGACCCCAGCAGGCGCCCAGAAGCUCCACCUCCACCCCGGAAGUCGGCUUAAGGAGGUCCUCAAGACCGGACUCCUGGGGGUUUGGCCUUGGGACGCCUGUGGCCUCCUCUCCCACGCUGCCCCGUACUGGACCCCUGAUCCAGCCACCGCCAGGGCUGCAAUGCGAGCCGCCCUUCCUCUGCGUAGCCGCUAUUGUUUAAAGGGGUCGCAGCCUGACUGCCAGGAGCGGAGUGCGACUCGGCCCCUCCAAUGCGCAUGCGCAAGGCCCUGGCGCAUGCUCCAGUCACAGUUAUUCCCACGGUUGUCUUAGAAACCCGUCCCUGAGGCUUGGCAAAGUAGGAGCCCUCCGUGGCAGUGCUUGGGUGUCGGGGCUCCGAGGCUCCGGCCUGACCUCUCCACGGGGUCGACAGGAACAUCUCUGGCUGCCAGGAGUCGCAAAGGGCCGACCAGGAUGACGAAACCACAGGCGAAGUCCGGGGGAAGCGGCAUGGCAUGCCAGCCUCAGGCCUGCCAGGACGGUGUUCGGGGGUGGAGCCAACCAAAGUCAAAGAAGAUUGUUGUAUCUUUUCACAGCUCUUCUCUGAGAACGAAGCCACACAACGAUAGAAUCUUGAAGAAGAAGCUAGGAAUGGGAGAUGGCAACAAUCCCUGUCACUGGAACACUGGUCUCUCUGGACAAGUCACCAGUUUGGCACCCCUCCCCUUAUGCCUGUACCGAUGGCAUGGUGCUAUAUCCUGCCUGGGCUCUGGCCUCUGCUCUGUCCUCCCUCUUGCUCUGUCUCCCCUGUUUCUGAGGGGCCUUGAUGUUUCUUGAUCUGUCUGAAUGUCUUCAACAAAGACCACUUCCCAGUCCUCCAGGGCGACACUUCCUGGAGAUCCGUGUCAUGAUUGUUUCUCCCUCCAAACCUGUUUCUGCUUGAUUAGCCAGGGUUGAUGAUCCUGGGGCUCUUGGCUUCCAUACGUAUCUCAGACAGGGAAGCUAGCUUGGUCUCCAUGUUUCACCUCAUGGGUGAGUGGAUUGCCUAGAAUGAGCAGUAGGUGACUGUGACUGGCCUUGUCUUCUAGGGCAGGGACAUGUCGCAUUUCCUCUGCACUUCCUGUCUCAUUCUUGAGAAACAUCCUCCCCUCUGCUCAUGGGUGGACUGACUCCUUGAAUCUUUUGGCUGUAAUGAAAGUCAGGGAUCCAAUGGGACUGGGCUGGGGCUGGAGCUGGAUGCAGGGGAGGUUCUGUCAGGGCUACCUGGGCAUUGGAGGAUUGGGGGUGGAUUGAACUUUGCAUAAACCUCUUUACUCCUCCAGCAGGCUUUUCAAAAUGUGGCUUGGACUCAUGCAAUAAGAAAUUUACCGGUUGAAAGGGCCCCUUUUUCAAUGGCACUCUGGGUAACAUCGCUUCAGCACAAUCAUAUGGUAGAGAAGCCUUAUCAAAUUUGCUGUCCCUCAGGGCUCUUAAAGAUGCUUGAUAAAUUAUUAGGGAAAUAAGAAACAAAUUGAAAGGAAAAGGAAAUCCAAGGACCUGCCCCAGAAGAAUCAUAGAUAUGUUUGAAUACUUAUUCAUUAUUUGCCCCAGAUAGAAAAUGUUUGUUAAUCAAAAGGCAAAAGUUAUAAUGAGGAAGAUAAUAUUGCCUGGGGCAAUGUUGAGACAAAUAAGGUGAAGAUCAACCAAACGCCCUG
This 3093-nucleotide long non-coding RNA is filed under the name Homo sapiens (human). Its description in RNAcentral is "non-protein coding lnc-MTRNR2L1-83:2". Lineage: Eukaryota; Metazoa; Chordata; Mammalia; Primates; Hominidae. The record is from RNAcentral.